CCUACGGGUGGCAGCAGUCGAGAAUCAUUCACAAUGGGGGAAACCCUGAUGGUGCGACGCCGCGUGGGGGAAUGAAGGUCUUCGGAUUGUAAACCCCUGUCAUGUGGGAGCAAAUUAAAAAGAUAGUACCACACGAGGAAGAGACGGCUAACUCUGUGCCAGCAGCCGCGGUAAUACAGCGGUCUCAAGCGUUGUUCGGAAUCACUGGGCUUAAAGCGUGCGUAGGCUGUUUCGUAAGUCGUGUGUGAAAGGCGCGGGCUCAACCCGCGGAUGGCACAUGAUACUGCGAGACUAGAGUAAUGGAGGGGGAACCGGAAUUCUCGGUGUAGCAGUGAAAUGCGUAGAUAUCGUGAGGAACACUCGUGGCGAAGGCGGGUUCCUGGACAUUAACUGACGCUGAGGCACGAAGGCCAGGGGAGCGAAAGGGAUUAGAUACCCUUGUAGUC
This 446-nucleotide ribosomal RNA is filed under the name uncultured bacterium. RNAcentral describes it as "partial 16S ribosomal RNA". It matches the Rfam family "Bacterial small subunit ribosomal RNA", at positions 338 to 795 of the family's 1533-position model. The record is from RNAcentral.